Molecule: microRNA precursor, 80 nt
Filed under: Paramuricea clavata
Lineage: Eukaryota; Metazoa; Cnidaria; Anthozoa; Malacalcyonacea; Plexauridae
Source: RNAcentral
AGUUAUCGCGGUUUAAAAACGAGCUAUUUUUGCUAUAUUCUAUAAUAGCAAAACUAGCUAAUUUUCAAACCGCGAUAACU